RNAcentral lists this ribosomal RNA (253 nucleotides) under uncultured bacterium. RNAcentral describes it as "partial 16S ribosomal RNA". It matches the Rfam family "Bacterial small subunit ribosomal RNA", at positions 524 to 776 of the family's 1533-position model. The record is from RNAcentral.
UACGAACCGUGCGAACGUUGUUCGGAAUCACUGGGCUUAAAGGGCGCGUAGGCGGCCGGGUUGGUCGUGGGUGAAAUCCCCCAGCUUAACUGGGGAACUGCCUACGAUACUGCCUGGCUCGAGGGAGGAAGGGGCGGUCGGAACUGUCGGUGGAGCGGUGAAAUGCGUUGAUAUCGACAGGAACGCCGGUGGCGAAAGCGGACCGCUGGCCCUCUUCUGACGCUGAGGCGCGAAAGCCAGGGGAGCGAACGGG